UAAUACGUAGGUGGCAAGCGUUGUCCGGAAUUAUUGGGCGUAAAGCGCGCGCAGGUGGGAUAAUCAGUCUGAUGUGAAAGUUCGGGGCUUAACCCCGUGAAGCAUUGGAUACUGUUAUUCUUGAGUGCAGGAGAGGAAAGUGGAAUUCCUAGUGUAGCGGUGAAAUGCGUAGAUAUUAGGAGGAACACCAGUGGCGAAGGCGACUUUCUGGACUGUGUCUGACACUGAGGCGCGAAAGCCAGGGUAGUGAACGGGAUUAGAUACCCCGGUAAUCCUGGCCGUAAACGAUGGGUACUAGGUGUUGGGGGUAUCGACCCCUCCAGUGCCGGAGUUAACGCAAUAAGUACCCCGCCUGGGGAGUACGGCCGCAAGGUUG
This 376-nucleotide ribosomal RNA is filed under the name uncultured bacterium. RNAcentral's name for it is "bacterial SSU rRNA". It matches the Rfam family "Bacterial small subunit ribosomal RNA", at positions 521 to 896 of the family's 1533-position model. The record is from RNAcentral.